GAUAAACGCUGGCGGCGUGCAUAACACAUGCAAGUCGAACGAUGAACCUUAAUUGAUUUCUUCGGAAUGAAAAUAAGUGGAUUAGUGGCGAACGGGUGAGUAACACGUGAGUAACUUGCCUUACACAAGGGGAUAGCCUUUGGAAACGAAGAAUAAUACCCUAUAAAGUCAAAAUAUCGCAUGAUAUAGUGACCAAAGAUUUAUCGGUGUAAGAUGGACUUGCGUCUGAUUAGCUAGUUGGUGAGAUAAAAGCCCACCAAGGCGACGAUCAGUAGCCGGCUUGAGAGAGUGUACGGCCACAUUGGGACUGAGACACGGCCCAAACUCCUACGGGAGGCAGCAGUGGGGAAUUUUGCACAAUGGGGGAAACCCUGAUGCAGCGACGCCGCGUGAUUUAGAAGGCCUUCGGGUUGUAAAAAUCUUUUUUAUGGGAUGAAAAUGACAGUACCAUAAGAAUAAGGUCCGGCUAAAUACGUGCCAGCAGCCGCGGUAAUACGUAUGGACCGAGCGUUGUCCGGAAUCAUUGGGCGUAAAGGGUACGUAGGCGGCCUAGUAAGUUAGAAGUGAAAUAAUAUAGCUCAACUAUAUAAAGCUUUUAAAACUGUUAGGCUUGAGAGAUGAAAGGGAAAGUGGAAUUCCUAGUGUAGCGGUGAAAUGCGCAGAUAUUAGGAAGAAUACCGGUGGCGAAGGCGACUUUCUGGUCAUCAUCUGACGCUGAGGUACGAAAGCGUGGGUAGCAAACAGG
This 745-nucleotide ribosomal RNA is filed under the name uncultured Anaerococcus sp. RNAcentral's name for it is "bacterial SSU rRNA". It matches the Rfam family "Bacterial small subunit ribosomal RNA", at positions 28 to 776 of the family's 1533-position model. Lineage: Bacteria; Bacillati; Bacillota; Tissierellia; Tissierellales; Peptoniphilaceae. The record is from RNAcentral.